Molecule: ribosomal RNA, 785 nt
Filed under: Anaerolineaceae bacterium enrichment culture clone Cb14
Lineage: Bacteria; Bacillati; Chloroflexota; Anaerolineae; Anaerolineales; Anaerolineaceae
Description: bacterial SSU rRNA
Rfam family: Bacterial small subunit ribosomal RNA
Source: RNAcentral
GCGUAAAGCGCGUGCAGGCGGAUCGGUAAGUUACUCUGAAAGCUCCUGGCUAAACCGGGAGAGGUUGAGUAAAACUGUCAGUCUAGAGUGGAUGAGAGGCAGGUAGAAUUCCUUGUGUAGUGGUGAAAUGCGUAGAUAUAAGGAAGAAUACCGGUGGCGAAGGCGACCUACUGGCAUCCAACUGACGCUCAGACGCGAAAGCAUGGGUAGCGAACGGGAUUAGAAACCCCGGUAGUCCAUGCCGUAAACGAUGCACACUAAACGUUCGUAAUCCUACGGGGUUAUGAGUGUUGAAGCUAACGCGAUAAGUGUGCCGCCUGGGGAGUACGGUCGCAAGGCUAAAACUCAAAGGAAUUGACGGGGGCCCGCACAAGCAGCGGAGCGUGUGGUUUAAUUCGAGGAUACGCGAAGAACCUUACCUGGGUUUGACAUAAUAGUGGUAGAGAAGGGAAACCGGAUCGACUCUUCGGAGAGCUAUUACAGGUGCUGCAUGGUUGUCGUCAGCUCGUGCCGUGAGGUGUUCGGUUAAGUCCGCAAACGAGCGCAACCCCUAUCGUUAGUUACAAGUGUCUAGCGAGACUGCCCGAGGCAAUCGGGAGGAAGGUGGGGAUGAUGUCAAAUCAGCAUGGCCUUUAUAUCCAGGGCUACACACACGCUACAAUGGCACAUACAAUGGGUAGCGAAGCCGCGAGGUGGAGCCAAUCUCGAAGUGUGUCUCAGUUCGGAUUACAGCUGCAACUCGCCUGUAUGAAGUCGGAGUUGCUAGUACCGUGUAUCAGCACGGC